Molecule: ribosomal RNA, 27 nt
Filed under: Campanula versicolor
Lineage: Eukaryota; Viridiplantae; Streptophyta; Magnoliopsida; Asterales; Campanulaceae
Description: partial 28S ribosomal RNA
Source: RNAcentral
CCCCAUGUCAGGCGGGACUACCCGCUG